GAAUUUUGGACAAUGGGCGAAAGCCUGAUCCAGCAAUGCCGCGUGCAGGAUGAAGGCCUUCGGGUUGUAAACUGCUUUUGUACGGAACGAAAAGCUUUGGGCUAAUACCCUGGAGUCAUGACGGUACAGUAAGAAUAAUCACCGGCUAACUACGUGCCAGCAGCCGCGGUAAUACGUAGGGUGCAAGAGUUAAUCGGAAUCACGGGGCGUAAAGCGUGCGCAGGCGGUUUUGUAAGUCAGGUGUGAAAUCCCCGGGCUCAACCUGGGAACUGCCUUUGAGGCUGCAAGGCUAGAGUACGGCAGAGGGGGGUGGAAUUCCGCGUGUAGCAGUGAAAUGCGUAGAUAUGCGGAGGAACACCGAUGGCGAAGGCAACCCCCUGGGCCUGUACUGACGCUCAUGCACGAAAGCGUGGGGAACAAACA
Molecule: ribosomal RNA, 423 nt
Filed under: uncultured bacterium
Lineage: Bacteria
Description: partial 16S ribosomal RNA
Rfam family: Bacterial small subunit ribosomal RNA
Source: RNAcentral